Molecule: non-coding RNA, 457 nt
Organism: Chinchilla lanigera (long-tailed chinchilla)
Lineage: Eukaryota; Metazoa; Chordata; Mammalia; Rodentia; Chinchillidae
Source: the annotation of a RefSeq genome assembly
CUGAGGACUUCUUCAUAGGCUGUCACACCCUGUGCAGGACCCAGUCCCAGUCAGGACACAGCAUGGACAUGAGGGUCCCCGCUCAGCUCCUGGGGCUCCUGCUGCUCUGGCUGCCAGGUGGAAGAUGUGACAUCCAGUUGACCCAGUCUCCAUCUGUGUCUGCAUCAUUAGGAGAGAAAAUCACCAUCACUUGUCAAGCCAGCCAGGGUAUUAGCGAUGAUUUACACUGGCAUCAGCAGAAACCAGGGCAAGCUCCUAAAUUCCUAAUUGCUUAUGCAACCACUUUGCAGUCUGGGGUCCCUUCAAGGUUCAGUGGCAGUGGAUCUGGGACAGAUUUCACUCUCACCAUCAGCAGCCUGCAGCCUGAAGAUGUUGCAACUUACUACUGUCUACAAGAUUACAGUUCCCCUCCCACAGUGAUACAAGUCAUGACAUAAACCUCCCAGGGAAGCAGAAG